GAUGAACGCUGGCGGCGUGCCUAAUACAUGCAAGUCGAGCGAACAGACGAGGAGCUUGCUCCUCUGACGUUAGCGGCGGACGGGUGAGUAACACGUGGAUAACCUACCUAUAAGACUGGGAUAACUUCGGGAAACCGGAGCUAAUACCGGAUAAUAUAUUGAACCGCAUGGUUCAAUAGUGAAAGACGGUUUUGCUGUCACUUAUAGAUGGAUCCGCGCCGCAUUAGCUAGUUGGUAAGGUAACGGCUUACCAAGGCAACGAUGCGUAGCCGACCUGAGAGGGUGAUAGGCCACACUGGAACUGAGACACGGUCCAGACUCCUACGGGAGGCAGCAGUAGGGAAUCUUCCGCAAUGGGCGAAAGCCUGACGGAGCAACGCCGCGUGAGUGAUGAAGUUCUUCGGAUCGUAAAACUCUGUUAUUAGGGAAGAACAAAUGUGUAAGUAACUAUGCACGUAUUGACGGUACCUAAUCAGAAAGCCACGGCUAACUACGUG
Molecule: ribosomal RNA, 497 nt
Filed under: uncultured bacterium
Lineage: Bacteria
Description: partial 16S ribosomal RNA
Rfam family: Bacterial small subunit ribosomal RNA
Source: RNAcentral